GUGGAGGUUGUAGUGAUGUUGUAUCAUGUCUGUGUUGUGGAGGUUGUAGUGAUGUUGUAUCAUGUAUGUGUUGUGGAGGUUGUAGUGAUGUUGUAUCAUGUCUGUGUUGUGGAGGUUGUAGUGAUGUUGUAUCAUGUCUGUGUUGUGGAGGUUGUAGUGAGGUUGUGAUGUUGUAUCAUGUCUGUUGUGGAGGUUGUAGUGAGGUUGUGAUGUUGUAUCAUGUCUGUUGUGAAGGUUGUAAUGAUGUUGUAUCAUGUCUGUGUUGUGGAGGUUGUAGUGAUGUUGUGGAGGUUGUAGUGAUGUUGUAUCAUGUCUGUUGUGGAGGUUGUAGUGAGGUUGUAGUGAUGUUGUAUCAUGUCUGUGUUGUGGAGGUUGUAGUGAUGUUGUAUCAUGUCUGUGUUGUGGAGGUUGUAGUGAUGUUGAAGUGAUGUUGUAUCAUGUCUGUGUUGUGGAGGUUGUAGUGAUGUUGUAUCAUGUCUGUGUUGUGGAGGUUGUAGUGAUGUUGUAUCAUGUCUGUGUUGUGGAGGUUGUAGUGAUGUUGUAUCAUGUCUGUGUUAUUUAG
Oncorhynchus tshawytscha (Chinook salmon) is the source of this 562-nucleotide long non-coding RNA. The record is from Ensembl. NCBI's taxonomy places the organism in Eukaryota, Metazoa, Chordata, Actinopteri, Salmoniformes, Salmonidae.